This 542-nucleotide long non-coding RNA is filed under the name Hordeum vulgare. Its description in RNAcentral is "long non-coding RNA (HVUL_LNC005615)". Lineage: Eukaryota; Viridiplantae; Streptophyta; Magnoliopsida; Poales; Poaceae. The record is from RNAcentral.
GGAUUCCUUUUGUCAAGGGCCCGGGAAAAUUGAGUCAUGGCACAAGCGUUGCUCAACGGUGCCGAGUUAAGUCAAACUAAUGUUGACCGCCGAUUUAGAUCCGACCUAGCUAGCGCCAAUAUUGUUGCUACCUGCCUGCCUUAUUCGAUCAAUCGACGGUUGGACGAAGGCCCCACGCGCAAAUAGGAUCAUACAUACAGUAUAUCAUAGUAUUGUUAUCUUGUUGCGUAUAUAUCCUUUUCUAUCAGGGCUUCGGGUUAUCAGGAUACGGAGACCCGUGUGCAUAUCCUCGAUCGUGACGUAGAUCGAUAUGGGCGAUGCUGGUGAAAUUCGUCUGCAGAUCGCAGGUCCCUCUCUCGCUCUCCAUCUUGAAUUCUUCAUACUGCAAUCUUGUCGUGCAUGGUGACCAAAUUGCAGGCUGGUACAGGAGGCGAAGAAAAAGCUCGAGGAGUAGCUGGCAAUGGCACGUCCGCGGCAACCGCGGCGCCGCCGACGAUGUCGGAACGCGUACAUUGGUGGGCGGUGGUGCUCGUCAACAUCNN